RNAcentral lists this long non-coding RNA (354 nucleotides) under Bos taurus (domestic cattle). RNAcentral's name for it is "long non-coding RNA NONBTAT016309". Lineage: Eukaryota; Metazoa; Chordata; Mammalia; Artiodactyla; Bovidae. The record is from RNAcentral.
UCUAUUUAAAUCUUUUCACCUCUCGGUUUUAUAGCGUUCAGUGUCUCAGCCACCAGAAAUAGAAGUGGUGAUAGAAAAUUAUUUUCAGAGUAUGCUUAAGCUUUUUUAUUACUCACAGUUCUUCCCUGAGGGAAAUAGUUUCUGUAAAAACCUACCAAGUAGUUGAUAAUGCUGCAUUUAAUGAUAAACUUGUUUCACAGUGGCUUAAAAGUAUUAAAAUCUUUUUAGAGAAGGUUACUUUCAAUUUAUUUAUAGUUGUAUGGUUCUAAUCUCUUAAGUGAGUUCAUGACUGAUUUAAAGAAGGCAGAAAAUAUUGCUGGAUGUUUGAUACAACCUAUUCAAGCUUUUAAGCUU